AACGAACGCUGGCGGCAUGCCUAAUACAUGCAAGUCGAACGAUCUCUUCGGAGAUAGUGGCGCACGGGUGCGUAACGCGUGGGAAUCUGCCCUUGGGUUCGGAAUAACAGCGGGAAACUGCUGCUAAUACCGGAUGAUGACGAAAGUCCAAAGAUUUAUCGCCCAGGGAUGAGCCCGCGUAGGAUUAGCUAGUUGGUGGGGUAAAGGCCUACCAAGGCGACGAUCCUUAGCUGGUCUGAGAGGAUGAUCAGCCACACUGGGACUGAGACACGGCCCAGACUCCUACGGGAGGCAGCAGUAGGGAAUAUUGGACAAUGGGGGCAACCCUGAUCCAGCAAUGCCGCGUGAGUGAUGAAGGCCUUAGGGUUGUAAAGCUCUUUUACCAGAGAUGAUAAUGACAGUAUCUGGGGAAUAAGCCCCGGCUAACUCCGUGCCAGCAGCCGCCGUAA
Molecule: ribosomal RNA, 449 nt
Filed under: uncultured bacterium
Lineage: Bacteria
Description: partial 16S ribosomal RNA
Rfam family: Bacterial small subunit ribosomal RNA
Source: RNAcentral